GAUGAACGCUGGCGGCGUGCCUAAUACAUGCAAGUCGAGCGAACAGACGAGGAGCUUGCUCCUCUGACGUUAGCGGAGGACGGGUGAGAAACACGUGUAUACCCUACCUAUCAGACUGGGAUAACUUCGGGACACCGGAGCUAAUACCGGAUAAUAUCUUGAACCGCAUGGUUCAAUAGUGAAAGUCGGUUUUGCUGUCUCUUAUCGAUGGAUCCGCGCCGCAUUAGCUAGUUGGUAAGGUAACGGCCUAUCAAGGCAACGAUGCGUAACCGACCUGAGGGGGUGAUUGGCCACACUGGAAGUGAGACACGGUACAGAGUCCUACGGGAGGCAGCAGGAGGGAAACGGCCGGAAUGAGCGAAAACCUGACCGAACAACGCCGCGUGAGUAAUGAGGGUCGUCGGAUCGUAAAACUCUGUUAUUAGGGAGUAACAAAUUUGUAAGUAACUAUGCACGUCUUGACGGUACCUAAUCAGAAAGCCACGGCUAACUACGUG
This 497-nucleotide ribosomal RNA is filed under the name uncultured bacterium. RNAcentral describes it as "partial 16S ribosomal RNA". It matches the Rfam family "Bacterial small subunit ribosomal RNA", at positions 28 to 507 of the family's 1533-position model. The record is from RNAcentral.